RNAcentral lists this non-coding RNA (23 nucleotides) under Arabidopsis thaliana (thale cress). Lineage: Eukaryota; Viridiplantae; Streptophyta; Magnoliopsida; Brassicales; Brassicaceae. The record is from RNAcentral.
AAACAUGUUAGGGUGAUAACUAA